RNAcentral lists this long non-coding RNA (4904 nucleotides) under Anolis carolinensis (green anole). RNAcentral describes it as "lncRNA (ENSACAG00000043302.1)". Lineage: Eukaryota; Metazoa; Chordata; Lepidosauria; Squamata; Anolidae. The record is from RNAcentral.
AUGUUUAAACCGCAAAAGGUUGCCUUCUCAUGCUCGAACCUUUUGCACAGGCUUCAUGUCAAGUGGACGUCUUCUCUUAUAGCUUUAGAACAAGUUGGAGUCCUUAGGAAAUAUGUGCCUGUCUCAGGCAACUUAAAACAGUUACAGCUUCAUGUAUUUUCGGAUGCUUCCAACAAAGCAAUUGCCGCUGUAGCUUAUCUUAGAGUGUUGCAAGGAGACCAGCCCUAUUUAGGAUUUGUAAUGGGAAAAGCCAAGUUGACACCAUUACAUGGUCAUACAAUGCCACGAUUAGAACUGUGUGCAGCAGUGUUAGCUACACAACUUGUAGAAAUAAUUAAAAGAGAAAUAGACUUAUCUUUCAGUGAUAUCACACUAUAUACAGAUAGUAAAAUUGUUUUGGGUUAUAUAUAUAACACCCAACGAAGAUUCCAUGUAUACGUUAGCAAUAGAGUAGACCAAAUACUCCAGAUAACUAAACCUAAUCAGUGGUGCUACGUAUCUUCAGAAUCAAAUCCAGCAGACCAAGCCACAAGAGAGAUUUAUGCUCAUGAGCUUAUGAAUUCGCAUUGGUUGAAAGGUCCUGACUUUUUAAAGGAGCCAAAAUAUGUGCCUCCAAAGGACCAAGUAUUCAAACUCUGUAACCCAGAAGAAGAUAAAGAGAUAAGAACACUUAGCACCAACAUAUCAAAGUCUCAGGAAGAUCUGUUCUCAAGAAGAUUCAUUAAAUUCUCAUCCUGGAAACGACUAGUUAUAAGUAUAGCUAAGAUCUUACACUUCGUCAACUAUAAAAACAACGAACCUACUUCUGUAGAGGAUAGAAAAGAAGCAGAAUCAAAGAUUAUCCAGAUUGUGCAGUCAGAAGUGUACAAAAGUGAACUACAGUGCCUUAGACAUCACCGGCCUAUACCAAAGUCAAGUACCUUAAGGUAUCUCAACCCCUUUUUGGACAGUUCCGGUCUAAUAAAGGUUGGGGGUCGCUUAGCCCAGGCCAAACUUAAGUUGGGAGAGAAACAUCCUUACAUACUGCCGGCUAAACAUCAUAUCUCACUACUCCUCAUAAGACAUUAUCAUGCUAAAAUAUAUCACCAAGGCAGACACUUCACAGAAGGAGCAGUGAGAAGUGCUGGAAUUUGGAUAGUGGGAAUGAAAAGGUUGAUCACUAAAGUUGUUAAUGACUGUGUUAUUUGUAAAAGACUUAGGGCUGAACAUCCCCAUCAAAUCAUGGCUGACUUACCAAGGGAUCGUGUCACUAUACAACCACCAUUCACCAAUGUUGGUGUCGACAUUUUUGGUGCAUGGGAAAUAGUAACUAGAAGAACAAGAGGAGGAGUAGUAAGCAACAAAAGGUGGGCAGUAAUGUUUACUUGUCUAUCCUUACGAGCUGUUCACAUCGAACUUGUAGAAUCCAUGGAUUCAACAUCAUUCAUUUAUGCUCUACAACGUUUUUUCGCAAUCAGAGGUCCAGUGAAACUUCUGAGAUCGGACUGUGGUACGAAUUUUAAAGGCGCAUGUAAAGAUCUAGAAUGUCCAGAGAGGUCUAUGUUAGAUCCAGAUGUUCAAGUAUUCCUCAAGCAAGAAGGUUGCAAAUGGCUAUUCAAUCCUCCACAUGCAUCUCACAUGGGGGGAGCAUGGGAAAGGAUGAUAGGUAUCGUCAGAAGAAUUCUUGAUGCCAUGUUGUUAAAUAUUACCAUUCUUACUCACAAGAUUCUCGUCACCCUUAUGGCAGAAGUGAUGUCUAUAAUUAACAGCCGUCCUCUAACACCAAUAUCAACAGAUCCAGAGGAUCCAAAUGUGUUGACACCAGCGACCUUGUUGACCUUCAAGACACCAGAAUGGAAAGACAUUACUAUUGCAGCAGAGCUGAAGAACAUCCAUCGUAAACAGUGGCAGCAAGUGCAAUCAUUAGCCAAUACAUUUUGGAAACGAUGGAAAAGAGAAUAUCUGCCUCUGUCACGACCCAGGCUGCAGAGCACCAAUAACCAUACACAGAGGCCAGAAUCUAUCUAAUAUCUUUAUUAAGGAAAUAUAUAAAGUUAAUAAAAACAAGUAUAGGAAAUAGUCCAGAAGUAGACCUUUCAGGAAAGGUCAAAAUUAGUCCAAAAAAGUAAUGUCCAAUAUGAAAUAUUAAGGUCCAAAGUUGUAAUCCAAUAACCGAAACACUCACUUGCCAAGCAAGUGAGGGGAGAUGACAAGGUCCUUUAGUCCAUGAACUUGAGCAAGGCUAGGAAAUAACUUGAUUCUUGGCACACAAAGCUUGAUUCAAGGCAACAAGGAAACGAGGAGCAAGAACAAGAUCCGUGGUAAUUACUUGGCGAGGUCCGGAAAACAAGGCAAGAUCCGGGGAGAAAACAAGGCUGAGAACGAAGGCUUGGAACAGGAACAAAGGCUUGAAAGCAGGAGUAGCUGUCCACACACGCUGCUCCGGUAGCUGACGAAUUGACUCCGCAAGAUUCCUUCGGGAGCAAGGAACCUAAAUAGGCCUCGUUUUCCCACCAGAGAACACUUCUCUGGGGAAUCAGAAACGAAAGUCAAUCUCUGUGUCCAGAUGUAUGACUCCCUAAAAUUUCUCAUGGCAGCAGGCUUAAUCAUCUGAAUGCUUUGCUGCAAUUCUCAAACUCCUGCGAUUAGCUUGUUGCACUCCUUUUUGCUGGAGAUAAUAAUUACGGCGCGAAAAAGGGGGAGAACUCGACUCAGGGCUUGUUUGGCAGAUUUCUGGAAGACAAGCCUCCUGCAGGUGCAAAGGCUCAAUUUCUGGCUGGGAUAGUUCCUUUUCUGGCUGAAAUGGUGGAAAACCCAAGUUUUCCUCUUCAUCAUUCACAACAGCACUAGGAACGGGACUACAUGGCCCAUGAGUCAUCACACUAUCCCCCUCCUCAAGCCCCCUCUCAAACUGGGACUCUCUCCCCGAGGCGUGAGGCCGCGGCUUGGCGGGAUAGGUCAGAUGGAAGCGGCGGGUUAAAUCGGGGGCAUGGACUGUGGAAGCGUCUUCCCAAGAACGUUCCUCGGGGCCAAAACCCACCCAGUCAAUGAGAUAUUGUAGGCGGCGGCGGUGAAAGCGAGAAUCCAAAAUGUCCUGAACCUCGAAUUCCUCCUCCCCAUCCACCAAAACAGGAGUGGGGGCCGGCCGGUCUGCAUCAGGGCGCACACCUUCCGCCGGAAGGAGCAGAGAGCGAUGAAACACUGGAUGAAUGCGCAUAGAGCGCGGAAGUUGGAGUUUGAAAGUCACGGGGUUAAGUUGCGCCACCACUGGGUAGGGCCCAAUGAAACGGGCAUCUAAUUUCCGGCAAGGGCGAUGGGAGGGCAAAAAGCGAGUGGACAGAAGAACCUGGUCUCCUACCUUGAUUUCGGGGCCCGGCUGGCGAUGUUUGUCAGCGUGGCGUUUAUAGUCCUCCUUGGCUUGGUCCAGUUGCUGGAGCAAAAGUUGUUGCACCGCUGUGAGUUCCUGCAGCCAGUCCUCUGCUGCGGGAACUUCUGAGGUUUCAAUGACAGGAGGAAAGAAACGUGGAUGGAAGCCGUAGUUUGCAAAGAACGGGGUUUCUUUAGUUGAAGCCUGGACCCCAUUGUUGUAGGCAAACUCUGACAGCGGUAACAGGGAAACCCAAUUGUCCUGCUGGUAGUUCACAUAACAGCGAAGGUAUUGUUCCAAAGUGGCAUUGGUGCGCUCAGUUUGCCCAUCCGUUUGGGGAUGGUGAGCCGAAGAUAAACGAGUCUAUGCCCAAUAGUUUUUGUAGUGCUUUCCAGAACCGAGAGGUGAAUUGGGACCCACGGUCUGUGACCAAACUCUUGGGCAAUCCAUGUAAUCUGAAAACAUGUUGAAGGAAUAGAUCUGCAGUCUCUUUGGCCGUGGGAAGGCCAUCACAGGGAAUGAAAUGGGCUAACUUGGUAAAAAGGUCCACCACCACUAGGAUCGUGGUGAAUCCGCAGGAAGGUGGUAGAUCAGUGAUAAAAUCCGCAGAGAUUAUUUCCCAUGGGUGGGAUGGGGUAGGGAGGGGAUGCAGAAGCCCUGAGGGUCUUUCCCUUCUUGUCUUGGAGCGCUGGCAUACUGGGCAGGUGUUGACAUAUUUCUCCACAUCCUUGCGGAUCUUGGGCCACCAGAAGUCUCUUAGGAUCAAAUGCAUGGUUUUGAAUAGUCCGAAAUGCCCUGCUGGCUUGCAGUCAUGACACAGACGAAAGUGCUUUUUCCCUGCCCGGUCCUGGAGGGAUGUAAACAUGAUUUCUAUAGCAAAGUAGCCCAUCCUUAAGCGAAAAGGGAAAAUGUAGUCCUUGGCGAAAGUUGGUCCUGUGCCCAGGCAUCUGCUUGCUGACUAGCCCUGAUUUCCUGAGCACAAAGGGGCCCUGGAGUAGAGGGAGUUGAUUCAAUGGGAGUGGAUUUGGUGUUUCCCACUGUGAGCGUGGCAAAGUUCCCGGGCUGCAGCAGUUGGGACUCAAAGGUCUCUUUGCGCCCUGCAGCAUAUUCCGGUUUCCGUGACAGAGCAUCUGCUUGCUUGGUCUGGGCUGGGGUUACAUAAUGGAUUUGGAAGUUAAAACGUUCAAAGAAUAAAGCCCAGCGUUGUUGCCUCUGAUUUAGCUUGCGGGCAGUUCUUAGAUGCUCUAGAUUCCGAUGAUCAGUAUGGACUUCAAUGGGAAAUUUGGCCCCUUCUAACCAAUGUCUCCAAGUUUCAAAGGCUGCCUUUAUGGCCAAAAGUUCCUCUUCCCAAAUAGUGUAAUUUCUCUCUGGUGCGGUCAAUUGACGGGAAUAAAAGGCACAAGGGUGAAGAUGAUCUCCCACUGGUUGUAGGAGUACAGCCCCAAUCGCCACAUCGGAGGCGUCCGCCUGCACGACAAAUGGGGUUUCAGGAUCUGGGUGCUGAAGGAUUGGCUGUGGACGUGAAUAAUUUCUUUAGUUGCUGGAACCCUUUCUCUGU